AGGUGAACAACACGUGGUCUCGGCCCCUCCCGCAGACAGCGAGGCACUGAUCCUGGGCGGGACCUAGCCAGGUGUUGCUAACAGUCACGUUUGGGGCGCUCCAGGGGGGAUGCUCUUUAUGAGAAACGAUUUCAGGGGGAAAGAGGUGUGCAAGCGAGGACGCAUUUCCCGGGCCAAUUCCGAGGGUCACAGCAACCCGUCGCUCAGUGUGGGUCACGUGCCCAGGGUCAUCAGAACCCCCCAUCCCCCGCCUCGGCAGGGCUUUGGAAAACCCAGAGGUGCGAGCGCCGCCUCGCCCCGCCCCUCCCCGCCGGGCGACUACAAAUCCCAUCCUGCCCUGCGCUCGCGCACGUUACGCCAGAGCAAGAUGGCCGACACGACGGCCUCUGCGGGGGCUGGCAGCUCCGGAAUGAGAUCAGGAAGUAAACAGUCCACUAACCCUGCUGACAAUUACCAUCUGGCCCGGAGGCGAACCCUGCAAGUGGUUGUGAGCUCCUUGCUGACGGAGGCCGGGUUUGAGAGUGCUGAGAAAGCAUCCGUGGAAACACUGACAGAGAUGCUUCAGAGCUACAUUUCAGAAAUUGGGAGGAGUGCCAAGUCUUACUGUGAGCACACAGCCAGGACCCAGCCCACGCUGUCAGACAUUGUGGUCACUCUUGUCGAGAUGGGUUUCAACGUGGACACUCUCCCUGCUUAUGCAAAGCGGUCUCAGAGGAUGGUCAUUACUGCCCCUCCAGUGACCAAUCAGCCGGUGACUCCCAAGGCUCUCACUGCAGGGCAGAAUCGACCCCACCCGCCGCACAUCCCCAGCCAUUUUCCUGAGUUCCCCGACCCGCACACCUACAUCAAAACUCCGACGUACCGCGAGCCUGUGUCUGACUACCAGGUCCUGCGGGAGAAGGCUGCAUCCCAAAGACGUGACGUGGAGCGGGCGCUCACCCGCUUUAUGGCCAAGACGGGCGAGACCCAGAGUCUGUUCAAAGACGACGUCAGCACGUUUCCACUGAUUGCUGCCAGACCCUUCACCAUCCCCUACCUGACAGCUCUUCUUCCGUCUGAACUGGAGAUGCAGCAAAUGGAAGAGACGGAUUCCUCGGAGCAGGAAGAGCAGACAGACACAGAGAACCUCCCUCUUCAUAUCAGCACGGAUGACUCUGGAGCCGAGAAGGAGAACACCUCUGUCCUGCAGCAGAACUCCUUGUCCGGGAGCCGGAGCGGGGAGGAGAGCCUCAUCGAUAACCCCUACCUGCGCCCCGUGAAGAAGCCCAAGAUCCGCAGGAAGAAGUCCCUCUCGUGAGCUGAGGAGGAAGCCUGCCUUGUACAGAGAUGCGGACACCACGCUCCUGGGGAGUGAAAGCCACUCGAGGGAAGCAGAAAGAGUGGCCUCCCGUGCGCCAGCCGAAGCUGUGACUGGGAAUGCUUUUAAUAGCAGAUUCUGUGUUAAUAUUUCCCAUUUUCACUGGAUGUUUGGGUUGAGGAAGCUAUGAUGUGGUGGCAAUAACGAGGCUUUCUUAAUUAACCAGGCUGGACUGGGGCAUAGGAGCAGCUGGUGACGACCUCAUUCAUUAUCACAGGACCUCAUUCCUUUGACCUGAGAGACCAGGGAAGGCAGCAGAAAGAAGGGGCUGUGCCUUCUCUGCUUACUCCAGAAGGACUGUUCACCUCGUUUCUGUUUCAGGCUAUCCCGGUCCCUCUUAUUGACUCACAGACAAUGUGUAGCAUCAGUUUAUCACUUGCUUUGCCUUGGUGGGAACCUCAUUCUUAUUUCUCUUCUCACCUGGGCGCCGAGUGCCCUGCUGAGAUGACGGAAGGUGACUUUGCCUUCCCACAUGGCACUCCUUGACCUGGGCCGGCAGGAGUCGGGAGGGGUGAGCAGGCAUGUCACGUGGAGGAGGGUGGUGCAUCACAGCACACCAGCUCUCUCAUCGCAUUUGGUGAACUCUUCCUUCAAGGCAGCGCCCUCUCUGGGGGAUUGGUAUUUAUCGUCCCUCUGUGGAAUGUGUGCUUUGGGCCACUGAGUCCUGCCCCGUCCAGGAAAAGAGCUUUCUCUGACAAGAGCCUCUGCAGGAUCUAUUCUGCUGUGACUUGCUGGAGGAAUCCGACCUUAAAGAGCAGGAAAGGGAUUGGGGGGGAACGGGGGAGAACUUGAGGGCUGGAUGGCCUGUUUGCUGGGAGCCGGGAGCCCGGGGCGUCUGCUGGAAGCCGGCACAGAAGGGCGCCGUGCGUGGAAGCCAGUGGGCCAGGCCACGGAGCUCUCCCAGAAGGUCUGAGUCUGUUCAGCCGCUUUGCAUCCUGGGGAGAGAUUUCAUCCUGCCUGAACCUACAGAUCAAAACAAGUGUUUAAGGAAGAUGCUGGACAAGCUGAUACCCUUUGGCUGGUCUCUGAAAGAAGAGAUU
Pipistrellus kuhlii (Kuhl's pipistrelle) is the source of this 2397-nucleotide RNA transcript. It is a transcript of the gene named TATA-box binding protein associated factor 8, with no coding region annotated. The transcript has 10 exons. NCBI's taxonomy places the organism in Eukaryota, Metazoa, Chordata, Mammalia, Chiroptera, Vespertilionidae. The record is from RefSeq and is a predicted model, not a curated record.